Schistocerca americana (American grasshopper) is the source of this 2816-nucleotide long non-coding RNA. RefSeq lists it as uncharacterized. The transcript is spliced from 3 exons. The record is from RefSeq and is a predicted model, not a curated record. NCBI's taxonomy places the organism in Eukaryota, Metazoa, Arthropoda, Insecta, Orthoptera, Acrididae.
CGUUGACGCUAUCUGGAACAGGAAUAGCGUGAGUCUGCGACGUCUGCGCCACAUGGCAAGACUGGCUUCUCACCGAAAUCGUGACGAUGGAGACCACCAGACAACGAUGUUGGGGGUUACAUGUAGUCCUGCAACCUGGCGCGACUGAGUCCUCAAGAAAGGACAACAGCUGCUCUCUCUGCUGCAAAGAUCCACCAAGUGGUGACACAUGAUACACACAUCAUGGCCACUGUGGACAAGUUCAGAGAGCUGCGACACCAGAUUCUCCACUGUUGGGGCCAUUUUGCUGAGGGCUGGUACGUUUUAGGGUGAUGGCAGUGACUAUAGCCGAUUAUAGAGAAGGGGACCACGACUGUUGUCUGAGUUGGUAACCCAGGUACAAACUAAAUGUCAUAUCGAAAUUGUAUCAUUGAAGAAAUGUAGCUGCUUCGUUGACACACGCCAAUCAUGUGACAAUAACAACGAUGGCUGAAAGAAUGCAUGGAUGUCAACAUCAGCCUGAACAGGGACAGCUAGAAUACCAUCUGUGGGACCUGGUUUCAGGUGUCGAAGCUACCAAGUCACUGCUGGCUGGCAAGAUGAUACUCUUUCUGGUUCUGGCAUGGUUAUCACACCCUGUAAUGAUGGACCUGGAGCUGGAACCACCGUCCAUGUACUACACUUCAAGGAAGUUGGUGGACCAGCAGCUGCUCACUGACAGGGUUAUGCAAACCUAUCCAAAAUCCAAUGUGCUGGCUGGUUGCACACAGCUGCAACUUCAGCAAUGUUGGAACGUGUAGACACUUUUCAGUUGGGGUGAUCGACUGAUCACUAUUAACAGCUUGCUGCACAACUGUAAGUGUCUGUUGGUACUGCUGACACACUCUGUUUGAUGUCCUCCCUCAUGGUGUAACAAUCAAGUCUGAAGUGCACUGUUCUACCCUCAGGAAAGUGAAGAAACGACUUCAGCGUGUUUACCACCACAACAAUGCAAUCAAACUUAUUCUUCAUGACAAUGCAAGGCCUUACACAAGUUUGCAUAACAUAUAGGAGCUGAUAUGACUUCAUUGGACUGUUCUUCCUCAUCCACCCUGCAGCCCAGACCAAGUACCUUCUGAUUUCCAACUGUUUGGCCCAAUGAAGGAUGCACUCCACAGCAAACAGUAUGUGGAUGAUAGGGACGUUACUGACGCAGUAAGAUGGCGGAUCCUACAUUGACCGGUAGUGUAGUACCAUGCAUGAUGCUGACCUUCCCAGUAAGAUGGCGUAAGGCUGUCACAUUGCACAGAAAUUAUGUUUAAAAAUAAGGUUUUGUAGCCAAAGAGCAGGGAAUAAUAUGGUGUAUUGGAAUCUUGAAUAAAACCAAGCCGCUCUCAGAAAAAAAGUGUUGUUUUAUGUACUGAACAUCCCUUGUACAUCACUGCGCGGUAAAUUGUGUAGUGUGAGGCUGUGCCGCCUUUCACCUUUCUGUUAGUGAAAAAGAAUUACAACACUAGGUACAAACUUAAUACAAUGUCAGACAGAGAUGUGUUGUGAAUAUUGAAGCUAAAGUUGCAAAUGCACAUCUGACAGAAAUUUGUCGCAGUUUCAGAUGUGAAUUUGUAGGAAUUUUUAUCCAUCUAGGAUGAAAGAGACUUAAUCGAAGAGGAUGUGGGAUAUAACCGUGGCUAGAAAUUCAUAAUAGCCAUAUUCAGUGCCAAAACUCACCACAGAAUAUCCAGGCUAAUCGGAACUGGUGGGGUGCAGAGCCUAACAGAGAUAUAGUGGAGGACAUAAAUCAGUCGUCUACAUCCAUUCAUGAAAACGAACCAAGACUGUAUAGGCCCUGUAACGGAAGAGGACAGAUAAAGAUACCAACAUUAGGGAUGAUUUGUGCUUUGUUAUACGAGGCACAUGACUAUGGUAUAAUAUAGCAUGAACCUGUAUGUAGAUAAUACCGUAACAAAAGUUAUUUGGAAACGGGGAGUUGUGAAGGUGAGCCAGAGAUUGAUGUACCUGUCUUACCGGUUAGUAACUGCAGAAUAUUGAGAGCAUUAGGCACUAGGGCUUGGAAAGUAGUGUCAAGGUUGCCUUCCAAUGAGGCUAGUAAAUAUGAAGAUUCCAUGCACGAUCCUGCUGGUAAAUUCACAUGAGUGUGGACUGCAUAAUAUAUAGGAGUGCAACAGUCAACGUUUCUCAGGGGAAAUGCCAGUUCGUGAUUAAUAGUAUAAAGGUAGAGAUAGAUUUUUUAAAAUGAACGUAGAACAUGGCAAAUACUAUCAAAGCCUGAAAAUCGAAAUGUUAGGCAGAGAAUUGAAAUGCAUCGUUAAGGGAGAACGACAGGGUGACUCUCAGAAAAAACUCGAAAUUUUUUAGUUAUGGAAUUUAAAUGUAUGUACAUUGAAACAUUAUUCUCCAAAAUAUUAUGUGCGAACUCCAAAAUUUAACGAUUCUGUGAGCGUUUGAAGCUAAAGCAAACGGUGAAUUUCAAAGUUAUAAACACGAAACGCCAUUGCCACAGUCGUUAUCGAUGCCAUCACCCCUAUUUAUACCGAUUUGAGUAGACCUGAUUUGCUGGAGCUUUGUUUGAACAGUUUUACUCAAAAUGUGAACGAAUGUUUCAGUAGUAUCACUUGAAGACACACUCCGAAAAUAGCGUCCAGCCGUAGCGGAAUUGUCUACAUUGCUUCACAUUUGGCCUCUGUCUAUUCAAUGUGGGCCGUACUGCAUUAACGCACAUGUUGAAUGCCCUUCAGAUCAAAAUCGGCGAUGAAAUGCACCGAUUCUGCGAUCCGCUCAGUGAUGAAAAGGGCUCUGAGGACGAAAAUGAGGCCUUAUUAUGUCAAAGUAGCAGAAAG